Molecule: ribosomal RNA, 1207 nt
Filed under: metagenome
Description: bacterial SSU rRNA
Rfam family: Bacterial small subunit ribosomal RNA
Source: RNAcentral
AGAGUUUGAUCCUGGCUCAGGAUGAACGCUGGCGGCGUGCCUAACCCAUGUAAGUCGAGCGAUCUGUUAGCAAUAGCAGAGAGCGGCGGAAGGGUGAGUAACACGUAGGAGACCUACCUCAUCGCAGGGAACAACAGUCCGAAAGGAUUGCUAAUACCCAAAAGACCCGCGGAUUCGAUGCCGUGGGGAGAGUGCGCAAGCGCGUGAUGAGAGGGUCCUGCGGCCCAUCAGCUAGUUGGUAGGGUAGUGGCCUACCAAGGCAACGACGGGUAGGGGGUCUGAGAGGACGAUCCCCCACACUGGAACUGAAACACGGUCCAGACGCCUACGGGUGGCAGCAGGGAGGAAUAUUGGGCAAUGGGCGAAAGCCUGACCCAGCAACGCCGCGUGAAGGACGAAGGCCUUCGGGUCGUAAACUUCUUUUGAGGGAGACGAGAAAGGACGGUAUCCUCGAAUAAGCCACGGCUAACUACGUGCCAGCAGCCGCGGUAAAACGUAGGUGGCGAGCGUUAUCCGGAUUCAUUGGGCGUAAAGAGCUUGUAGGCGGUCGCGUAAGUUGGACGUGAAAACUCCGGGCUUAACUUGGAGAGGCCGUUCAAUACUGCGGGACUGGAGGAUGUCAGAGGGGAGUGGAAUUCCUGGUGUAGCAGUGAAAUGCGUAGAUAUCAGGAGGAACACCCGUGGCGAAGGCGGCUCCCUGGGACAUCCCUGACGCUGAGAAGCGAAAGCUAGGGGAGCAAACGGGAUUAGAAACCCCGGUAGUCCUAGCCGUAAACGAUGGGUGCUGGGUGUGCGCGGAUCUAACCCCGCGCGUGCCGAAGCUAACGCGUUAAGCACCCCGCCUGGGAACUACGAGCGCAAGCUUAAAACUCAAAGGAAUUGACGGGGACCCGCACAAGCAGCGGAGCGUGUGGUUUAAUUCGAUUCUACACGAAGAACCUCACCCAGGUUUGACAUGCAAGUGGUAGUGAAGCGAAAGCGGAACGACCCGCAAGGGAGCUUGCACAGGUGUUGCAUGGCUGUCGUCAGCUCGUGUCGUGAGAUGUUGGUUUAAGUACCCUAACGAGCGCAACCCUCGUUGCCAGUUACAAGUGUCUGGCGAGACUGCCGGCCGCAAGCCGGAGGAAGGCGGGGAUGACGUCAAGUCAGCAUGGCCUUUAUAUCUGGGGCUACACACACGCUACAAUGGGUCGCUACAAUGGGUCGC